UGGGCAACCUGCCCUCAGCUCUGGGAUAACUCCAAGAAAUUGGGGCUAAUACCGGAUAUGACUCCUCAUCGCAUGGGUGGGGGGUGGAAAGCUUUAUUGUGGUUUUGGAUGGACUCGCGGCCUAUCAGCUUGUUGGUGAGGUAAUGGCUCACCAAGGCGACGAUCAGUAGCUGGUCUGAGAGGAUGAUCAGCCACACUGGAACUGAGACACGGUCAGA
Molecule: ribosomal RNA, 218 nt
Filed under: uncultured bacterium
Lineage: Bacteria
Description: partial 16S ribosomal RNA
Rfam family: Bacterial small subunit ribosomal RNA
Source: RNAcentral